This 465-nucleotide ribosomal RNA is filed under the name Vreelandella stevensii. RNAcentral's name for it is "partial 16S ribosomal RNA". It matches the Rfam family "Bacterial small subunit ribosomal RNA", at positions 338 to 795 of the family's 1533-position model. The record is from RNAcentral. Lineage: Bacteria; Pseudomonadati; Pseudomonadota; Gammaproteobacteria; Oceanospirillales; Halomonadaceae.
CCUACGGGUGGCAGCAGUGGGGAAUAUUGGACAAUGGGGGGAACCCUGAUCCAGCCAUGCCGCGUGUGUGAAGAAGGCCCUCGGGUUGUAAAGCACUUUCAGUGAGGAAGAACGCCUGGUGGUUAAUACCCAUCAGGAAAGACAUCACUCACAGAAGAAGCACCGGCUAACUCCGUGCCAGCAGCCGCGGUAAUACGGAGGGUGCGAGCGUUAAUCGGAAUUACUGGGCGUAAAGCGCGCGUAGGUGGCUUGAUAAGCCGGGUGUGAAAGCCCCGGGCUCAACCUGGGAACGGCAUCCGGAACUGUCAAGCUAGAGUGCAGGAGAGGAAGGUAGAAUUCCCGGUGUAGCGGUGAAAUGCGUAGAGAUCGGGAGGAAUACCAGUGGCGAAGGCGGCCUUCUGGACUGACACUGACACUGAGGUGCGAAAGCGUGGGUAGCAAACAGGAUUAGAUACCCUGGUAGUC